This is a long non-coding RNA of Triticum dicoccoides, 2278 nucleotides long. RefSeq lists it as uncharacterized. NCBI's taxonomy places the organism in Eukaryota, Viridiplantae, Streptophyta, Magnoliopsida, Poales, Poaceae. The record is from RefSeq and is a predicted model, not a curated record. The transcript is spliced from 10 exons.
CAGCAUCCCGAUCCUUUUCCUCGCGCAGCUCCCUCUCCUUCCCCUCCCAACCCUAGCCGCCGCUACCUAGCAGGCCCUGCGGCCGCCGCCGCUACCCUCCUCUCCUCCCCGUUCCUCUCCAGCCGCCGAGCUCGCCGCCAUCGCUGCACUCCGGCCAGAUCCGCUCCUCACGGCCGCAAGCACUCGCGCGCGACCCCUCCCCGCGGCUAGGGUUUCGGCCGCCUGCAACUCCGGCGAGCCACCAUCCUCCCAUGGACGAGGACGACCACCACGGCCCGCACAUGGUCGAGCUCGCCGUCGUCUGGUCCGGUGCGGUGUUGGGCCAACGACCUCCGCUUCUCUUCUCCAUGGACAAACUUCAAAAGGCAACAGCAAGCCAUAUCAAGGGAGGGGAUUGAAGUCACCCCACUUCAAAUCCAUGGGCGCCAUCCACAAGAACUGGACAUCUUGGAACUGUUGUUGGCGGAGGGCGACGCAGAUUUGCGAGCCUUGUGGCGCAGUUUGGACAGGGCCUCGACGCUCUCAUCUCGGUCUCCUCGCCCCGGGUCUUCAUCUUCCCCACCUCCGUCGUGGCGACGCGGGGCGAGGGCGACGAGGGCAGUGCCGGGUUUGACGCCGGACGGGGCGGCAGGGGAUGAGGGCGGCACCGUGUUCGACGCCGGGCUUAAGUACCUCGAGGCCGUCAACGGCAACGUGCUCGUGUAUCCCAGGUUCAUCACGGAUCCUUUGACGAAGAAUCACAUGACGGACAGAUUUCACUAGACACGAUUCUCCGGCGGGUAGCUGCACACAACCACAGGAGGAGGUGGUGUUGUGGAAGAAUACGGCCUCGGCAAAGCCAUACUCUUGCAUCUCUUUCAACUGGUAUGACAUGGACAUUUGUAUGAUGGUGGACAGGCACCUUAAUAGAAGUGACUUAUUGAGCCUCGCUACCACCUGCCGUUGGUUUCUCCGGCUCCUCAUGAGGAGCCAUUUAUUUUCUUGUGAUAAUAUAGUUGAUCUACAAGCAGCAAGCAAAAUUGUUGUUAAAAAACUUAUCUAAAGGCCAACAUGAAUCAUCAAGACUGUCAAAUGAGACUGGGCCAUACCUUUUCCAGGUCAAGGCACUUUGGUACCUGAGAGCAAAGAGGAGGGUGAGAAGGGUGAGAAGAAAUGAAAGAGGAAGAAGAGGAACAAGAAGAGCAAGGAAGACAUUGCCUGGGUCGAUCGGCUGGAAGAUUGAAGGUGUUGCAGAGCCUGCUACCCAAUUCCAACAAGGUCACUCCAUUUUUCCUUCUUUCUUUGUCCCUGAAUUUGGUGCUCCUGCGUUUAUGUUUGUGAUGAAAUUAAUGGGUUCAUGUUUGCAUUGGUCUGCGGGGUUAGGCAUCAAUUCUUGAUGGGGCCGUUGAGUAUCAGAAGCAAUUGCAUCUCCAAGUAUAGGUCAUUAAGCAUGCCUGGAUUCAUUUGGAUGAUGAUCUCAGUUUGAGGGAGAUAUCGGUCUCAUUGAUGACACAUGCAAGCGGGGUAAAACUUGAGUCACCUACAAAAUGAUUUUUACCAUUUGUCAGAGCGGAGGUUUUUCUGGGGUUGUGCAUGUCGAGCCUGUUUGGCUGUUUAUGAGCAGGUUACACUAUAGUCGAUCAAGCCCUUGCAAGUUUGUAACGCAUUUUUGCAUUCUAGGGUUACAAUGGCGAGUAAUAAACAAGACGACCAUGCAGAUCUGAUAGAGAAGAGACCCACCCCGGUGACCUCCUACAGCCAUGGUCGAUGGCAGCCCCAGCAACGAGGGACUCGCGGUCACAGGAGAGAAGGAUCUCCGUACCCUACCAAGCUCGCUGGAGACGGAUCCAUAGGAGAGCAACCAGCAGCUCAAGUAGUUUUACCCGUGCAACCAUCCUGCUAAUUUCCUGGACCUGAAGAAUACCGACGAGUCGACGGACACAGGACGUUCCUGCAGGCUAUGUCCUCCGAGCCUCGUGAAAUCAUGAGGACAGAAGCUUCCGUGCCUACUUCAACUCUGCAGAACCAAUGAAGCUUGAAGUUUACAAGUUGGGGGAUGCCAGUGAUACUGCUCUUGCACGCUGCUUGCUGCUGUCUACUUGAUGUUUUUAAAUUUAAGUCAAAUUAAGCGUCAUGUGUCGUUAAACUUUAGUUAUGUCCAGUCUUGCGAUUUUGGUUCGUGUGCCUGUGUGCUAAACUACUGUUGGAUCUUGGAUGCUAUGUUUUGAGUCAAGAUAUGAUUAUGUACAAUCUGUCUAUUGUUAAGAAACGAUGAGCAAUCAGGUUUGUUUUGAUAAAA